This is a long non-coding RNA of Crotalus tigris (Tiger rattlesnake), 564 nucleotides long. RefSeq lists it as uncharacterized. The record is from RefSeq and is a predicted model, not a curated record. The transcript has 2 exons. Lineage: Eukaryota; Metazoa; Chordata; Lepidosauria; Squamata; Viperidae.
UAUGGGCAAUGGUGAAUAUACCCAAACAAAUGAUAAUGGCACAACAGGACAACCAGCUUCUUUGGAUCCAAGCAGAACCACUGAGCCUCUUGGCUUCAGAUUCUGAGCUGUGUGGCUGCCUGCACGUUCAGAGUUUCUGUGACUUAUGAAUACAAUACAGAUAAUCCUCGACUUACAACCAUUCAUUUAUUGACAACAGCACCAAAAAAAGUGACAUGACCAUUUUUCACACUUGCAAGUAUCCUCCUCAUGUGAUCAAAAUUUGAAAGCUUGGCAACUGGGUGACAGUCUCAGGCCAUACAUUACUUUACUGCAAAUCUCCAGAAGAUGAAGCAUCAGAAACAAUGCCUGGGGCACCAGAAGAGAAAGACCAGCUGUGGCUCUGACUGAUCCCAGAUAUAAGCUCAAGUAAACAACUAUAAGGCAGGGAAAGCUUUCAUUUUUAAUGCAUAUUGUUUUUAAUGUUCUCCUUUAUUUCAUGACAUUGUAAACUGCCUAGAGUUGCUUGACAGUGUGAUGGGUAUGUUGAUUGAAUAAAUAAAAUAAAAGCACCAUUAUUUCUUC